GCUGAUCAAAAGGACACAAGACACACAGGACAGGAUCGGACAGGCCUGGGGGCUGAAGCUAAUUCAGUGGUAAAGACAUGAGCUCGUCUCUUGGAGGUCGACGUGAGGAGGUCUGCACUGGAAAAGACCACACUGAGUUUGAGGAGCAGACACACAUCCUCGCAGGCCCAGAAUGAGCUCUCCAGCCGCAGCCACUCCAUCCUGACAGUCUCCAUCAGAGCUAAAGCAGCUAAUAGUGAUGAAGGCACAGCCACCAAGGGGAAACUGUGCCUAGUGGAUGUAGCCAGAAGUGAACGGUUGAGGGGGCCCAGUUCCUCAGAAGAUCUCCUGGAAGAGGCUGCCAACAUCAACCAAAGUCUCUUGUCUUUGGGCAAGUGCAUAUCCGCACUAGUGGACCCUAAGAAGAAGAGCGGGCACAUUCUGUACUGCGACAGCAAGCUCACCAAGCUGCUCUCUGAUUCCCUGGGUGGAGCAGGCAUCACACUCAUGG
This is a long non-coding RNA of Brienomyrus brachyistius, 490 nucleotides long. RefSeq lists it as uncharacterized. The transcript has 5 exons. The record is from RefSeq and is a predicted model, not a curated record. NCBI's taxonomy places the organism in Eukaryota, Metazoa, Chordata, Actinopteri, Osteoglossiformes, Mormyridae.